CCUCAUGGCUGGCAUCAGCAGGGCCAUGGGGGAGGCAGUGGAGGAGGAUUUACAGUGAUGCCUCCAAGGUGUGUCCGGACGGAGGCCGGAGGCUGAGCACUUUAAGGGAACUGCAUUGUUUGGACGUCUGAGUAACCAGUGAGGGCUAUUGGAGCAUUGGUGUUGUGAGUUUCUGUGACCAUGUAAAUCACCUGCCAGGAGAGAGACACUAGCUAGUGUGAAGUGGCAAUCUGCAACUGAAGGUGUUACAUCCUGGCCACCAGGGAAGGUCCAUCGACACCAGAUGGACCAUUGUGAAACAUUAAAGAGGAAAACAGACUCUGUUGCUUUGCUCUGCUGUCCCCCAUGAAGAUGAGUCUUGCAAGUAGAUUCCUCCCAUCAGCCAAGUUUGCAGCUCAGAGUAUGGGGUGGAGGAGGAGGGAAUACCAACAGCUAAUAAGAAGGAACUGUAGCUCUGUUCCACUUGGACUCUGGAGGGCAAGGUUUUCCAGGCAUAAGCAAGGGAUCUCCAGCUGCUUAGCUUGUUAGUCCUAAAGAGCAUA
Long non-coding RNA from Mauremys reevesii (Reeves's turtle), 542 nucleotides. RefSeq lists it as uncharacterized. The transcript has 3 exons. Lineage: Eukaryota; Metazoa; Chordata; Testudines; Geoemydidae. The record is from RefSeq and is a predicted model, not a curated record.